RNAcentral lists this transfer RNA (73 nucleotides) under Cyrtodactylus amphipetraeus (Tak bent-toed gecko). Its description in RNAcentral is "tRNA-Asn". Lineage: Eukaryota; Metazoa; Chordata; Lepidosauria; Squamata; Gekkonidae. The record is from RNAcentral. RNAcentral also lists the same sequence under 1 other name.
UAGGCUGAAGCCCGCUGGAUUGGGCUUUUAGUUGUUAGUUAAAGUUUUAUGGGAUCAAAGCCCAUCGGUCUAG